CGAAGCUUGGCACUGCUCACAAAUGGAGGAAGAGACGAAGAAAAAACGUAUCGAAGAGGCAAAAACAGGGUUUGGUUUGCUAAGCGAAGAUAUAGUUGAAAAGAUACUGAGAAGAUUACCAGCCCCAUCGCUGGCAUCAGCGGCAUGCGUCAGCAAAUUAUGGUACCAGAAUUGCAAUCGAAUCCUUUCUCGACCAAAGCUCGCCUCUGCUAUAUCUCUCAACCCUUCCCUUGACAUUGCUGUUCAAGAGGUUCUUGAUAAAGUUCUCUCGGAGCCCAUUCGACCACAUUUUGCCAUUGCAAAUGGUUUUGGCAGUACCUUCUGCCUGCAGAAAGCAUUUGAUUUGUUAGCAGGAAAACU
Molecule: unclassified non-coding RNA, 360 nt
Filed under: Hevea brasiliensis (rubber tree)
Lineage: Eukaryota; Viridiplantae; Streptophyta; Magnoliopsida; Malpighiales; Euphorbiaceae
Source: RNAcentral